AGUAAUCCGCGUGGUUGGUUGUUUUGUCACAAUACGCCAUGUCGUCGUCAUCGUCGCCGCCUCCCCCUCCGCCGAGCUCGGCCCAAUCCCCGCCGCCAUCAAACCCCACUCCGCCGCCGUCUCCCCCGUCUCCGGCGACUCCUUCGCCGUCGUCUUCUCCGCCUCCGGCGACCCCCUCCGCCUCGCCUCCGCCGCCGCCNGCAAGUACACAUGUUCCCUUUCUAAACUUUCCAUAAACUCAUGUUGUUUAUUUGUUAUUGAUACGCGUGACAAAAAUUUAAGACUAAUAUAUAUAAACCAGUGGGACAUAGAUAAAAAUGUUGUUGUGACAUGGUCUUUUUACUUGUCUUAUUUAGGUGAUAUAUAGGUUCUAUAUGAACAACCCUUCUUUUCAUUUGUAGGCAAUUUUUUAGGUGAUGUGUGUAGAAGAUGUUGUAAACUGUUACAAGGAGUUGAUCAACUGAUUGGGGAAGCUAAAUUAAGCCUUCUAUUUGCAGAAGCAAAAUGCUUCUUAGUUUAGCUUCAACUAAAAGUUGUUUUGGGGGAGAAUAUAUUAAUGGAGAAAUUGUUAUUAUUUUCUGAAACUGUACUUGAAUAGCAACUCUAGCAAAACGUACACUCUUUCUUUUAACAUUGGUUUUAGCUAUUCUUUAAUUUUGUGAAUAAAUUUUAGCUAUUGGUUAAUUAUGUGAAUAAUAAUAUCAGGUUACAAAACCCAGUUCUCUAAAUAUAGCUAAUUUUUUCCAUAGUUAAUUAUGCUUAAUUUAAUAUGCUAUUUAUGCUUCUCACUAUGUUACAGCUACUUCGAUUGGUAAGCAUAUCUUCGAAUUAUUUAUAAGCUAAAGAAUGCUGCUUUUAUAGUUUUUAUAUGGUAAAGAAAAAUGAUUUUUGCUGAAAUCUUUUGGACGCCAUAAAUAUAUUAGAGUUUUUUAUUUUCCAACUUUUGUGUUAUUCUAAAAGCUAAGUGAAACGGGUAUUUAGAGUGAACUGUGCUGCCGUGUUGUUAGGCGUAACUAGGGAUGUCAAUCGAUCGGAUUUGGAGUGGAUUUUUAAAAAUUCAAAUCCUAAUCCGACUCCAAACUCGAAAUCCAAACCUGAAUUCGAACCCGAUCCCGUACCCGAUGAAUNAUUUUAAAAAUUCAUAUUCAAACCCGAAUCCGACUAAAAAUUCGAAACCCGAACUCAAGCCCGAAAUUUAAAAUCCAAACCCGAAACAAUUAUUUCUCUCUUCAAUAUUUCAAAAUAUAUUACAUUAAAUCUAAAUUUUUAAAAUACAAAUUCAAAUAUAACUUCAAAUUUUUAUAUACAUAUAAUGUAAAAUAAAUUCGGGUUCGGGUCGGUUGGGGUUCGGAUUGAGUUCAGUCAAAAUUCAUAUCCGAAUUCAUAUACGUCGAGUUUUUGUUUUUAAUAUCCAUAUUCAAAAUUAUAUCCGUUUAGUAUCGAAUAAAUUUGCUCCGUUCGAAUUCGAAUUUAGAUAAAAUUUCGGAUACCCAUACCCACUAACAUCCCUAAGCAUAACUACUUCUUAAAAAUGAAAUAAUAAUGAUAAAUAAUAAUGAUAUAAAUACUAAUUAAGAAUGAAUUGCUGUACAGCUAUGAAUGAGAACGUUUCAGCUUCACAAAUUUAAUUAUUGAGAGCUCCUAUGUCACAACCGCGUGCAUACAUAUUCCACCAAUUUGUUCUCAUUCUCUAAUAAAUGAGACAACAUUUUCCAGGUCAACAAUUUCCUACUAGUUAUUAUCCACAGUAAUUCAAAAAUUUACUACUAAAGUAUCACCCUUUUUAUAGUAUGAUAAUCAAAAAUAUAAUUUAGCCAUGCAUAUAUUAUAUAAAAUUUUGGCUAAAUUUCUAGUUUGAAUUUUGUAAAUUAUUGUAAUCAAGUUUUAUAUUCCAAUUUAGUGCACUUAAUAUUGACAUAUCACUAAUAUAAUUUCUUAAUCAUUGUCGCAUGAUUAAUCAUAAUACAGUUAUAUUACUUUCACAUUGACAAUACAUUAAUAUUUAGUUAAAUAAAUUAGAUUGUGUGACUUAAUUGCUAUAAUUGUAAAGAUUCGAAUAAAAAAUUACAAUAUAUUAAAAUUUCAGAACCAUAGUUUGGCCACUAAAAGUGUAAUUUCGUUGAAAAAUUCAUGACUAUGUGUUUGGUAGAAACGAAUGGGACCUAGUCACAAUAUUGAAAGAGUAUGGGGGCCACCCGUGCAUUUUAUUUGCCCUUUAUACCUGUAUCUAAAUAAAAUACUUAGCAACUAAUCUGCACGUAAACGUAGUUGCGUUCAGAUGGAGAAGUUCGUGCAUGAAAAGCAUACAUAUAACAUUUUUUUUUUGUUUUACGUUAACAUAAGAUCAAAAAAGAUAUAUCGUAAUCAAUUUAUACAUUAAAUUAGUUAAAGUAUAAACUAGCGAUUUUUGAUAAUUAACAAGUAGGAGAUUUUGAACUUCUUUUUAGUUUUCUGGUUGUUUAAUGUUUUCAUUAAUAAAAAAAAAAUUGCUUAUUCAUAAUAAUCGAUCAUGAAUUUGUCGUUUUACAUUUGAAAUUUUUAAUUAAUCACCGACGUGUAGACCGCGUACGUUCAUGCAGUAAUAAUAAUAAUUUCUCGUUUGGAUGGGACGCGGUUGACUUUUGUGAUUAUCUUAAAGAAAUAUUUAACAUGCUAAUAAUAAUAUUCUCUCUAAUAUUAAUUUCUUUCCAAAUCCCAGUAUUUCUCCGCAAUUUCGUGGUCUUAUAUUGGACAAUUUUGUUUCCAUUUUUUUUUUUUUUCAAUUUCCUUUAUUUUUAUAUUUAUUUUAUUAAUUCAAACUCAAAGCUCCAAAAGAGGGAGUAAUCCGCGUGGUUGGUUGUUUUGUCACAAUACGCCAUGUCGUCGUCAUCGUCGCCGCCUCCCCCUCCGCCGAGCUCGGCCCAAUCCCCGCCGCCAUCAAACCCCACUCCGCCGCCGUCUCCCCCGUCUCCGGCGACUCCUUCGCCGUCGUCUUCUCCGCCUCCGGCGACCCCNNNNNACCCGCCCCCGCCGCCGCCCACGGCACAGCCCCCGGAGAACCCGCC
Molecule: long non-coding RNA, 3044 nt
Filed under: Ananas comosus (pineapple)
Lineage: Eukaryota; Viridiplantae; Streptophyta; Magnoliopsida; Poales; Bromeliaceae
Description: long non-coding RNA (ACOM_LNC024889)
Source: RNAcentral